This 253-nucleotide ribosomal RNA is filed under the name uncultured bacterium. RNAcentral describes it as "partial 16S ribosomal RNA". It matches the Rfam family "Bacterial small subunit ribosomal RNA", at positions 524 to 776 of the family's 1533-position model. The record is from RNAcentral.
UACGUAGGGUGCGAGCGUUGUCCGGAAUUAUUGGGCGUAAAGGGCUCGUAGGCGGUUUGUCGCGUCGGGAGUGAAAACGCCGUGCUUAACACGGCGCUUGCUUUCGAUACGGGCAGACUAGAGGUAUGCAGGGGAGAACGGAAUUCCUGGUGUAGCGGUGAAAUGCGCAGAUAUCAGGAGGAACACCGGUGGCGAAGGCGGUUCUCUGGGCAUUACCUGACGCUGAGGGGCGAAAGUGUGGGGAGCGAACAGG